UGCCUACGGGACGCAGCAGUAGGGAAUCUUCCACAAUGGACGAAAGUCUGAUGGAGCAACGCCGCGUGAGUGAAGAAGGGUUUCGGCUCGUAAAGCUCUUUUGGUAGUGAAAAAAGAUAGAGGUAGUAACUGGCCUUUAUUUGACGGUAAUUACUUAGAAAGUCACGGCUAACUACGUGCCAGCAGCCGCGGUAAUACGUAGGUGGCAAGCGUUGCCCGGAUUUAUUGGGCGUAAAGCGAGUGCAGGCGGUUCCAUAAGUCUGAUGUGUAAGCCUUCGGCUCAA
RNAcentral lists this ribosomal RNA (284 nucleotides) under uncultured bacterium. Its description in RNAcentral is "partial 16S ribosomal RNA". It matches the Rfam family "Bacterial small subunit ribosomal RNA", at positions 335 to 612 of the family's 1533-position model. The record is from RNAcentral.